ACUUCCCAGACAGCACAUGUACGUCUGGCCGACGUCGGCCCAAUAUCGAAACGUCGGCCUCUAUACCUAAAACAUCUAUAAAACAUCGGCCUGGCGGAGGCCGAUAUAAUUUGGUCAGUGCUCUGUUCUCCAGCUCAUCAGUCGUCGGCCCUGAGUUGGUUCACGACCGCGGGCCGAUGCUGCGCUUAUCUGUGUGCGCGUGCCCAGUAUUCGUCUCUUUUAGCCACCCAGAGAGAGAGAAGAGGAUAAUCCCAGCGACAUCUGUGGCUCUGAGGCUUCCAGAAAUAAUCCGGUGAAAUAAUAUGGUGAGCUAUUGUUGCUGUUGCUUCUGAACUACAAAAUGAUUUUUAAAUUUAUUAUUGAAUGAGACUGUACAUUAUAAAUGUAAUGCUUUAACUCUAGAUGUUUGUUUGUGUGAAUGCUGUGUGUGCGGUGAGUCCUGCGCGAGCGGGGAGCAGAGUUGCCAUGGAAACGGGGCGUCAACACAAAAACCGUUACUGGCAAGCAGUAAUCUCCGUCUCUUGCUGCAGUUUACACUGUUUUGGGAGGACAGAAAGAAACUCUACAGAACAGAAGUGAAGCUCCAAGAUUUCAACAUUUAUGAAGGGAGAUACUGACUUAGAAAUACAGCUUGUUUCCUUCUAAUGAACCUGGAACUGCAGAGUAAAUAUUGUUGACUCCGUGUCAGAUUGCUUGUUUUGUUCCUGGAUUCUUCAGUGAUGACGAUCAGAGUCUGAGUGAACCUGCUGUCAGACAGGUUGGCCUGAUUGACGAUGUCAUCGUCCAUCGCCGAUGGCUGAUAGACAUUACGAUGCUGCGCUGGCAAACAGCGUCAUCAGCUCCAGUAUCUCGCCCGUGCAUCUGUUGUCAUGCGGAGAAGUCACGUUCUAUAGACAGUUUCUAUAGACAGUUGUGAACGUGCUGACAGCUGGUUGCCCAGGCUAUGGAUUAAAGGUAAUACUGUUGGCCAGCAGAGCCCUGCUCACCCUGACGGCCCACCGCUGCUGUCAGACAACAUCUUCAAGAUGCUAUAAACUCCAGGACUAGUAAGUACAAUCUUGAACAUGCACAGCUGUAUCAUAAGUUUGGGAAGGAUCGCCAUCCCAAGGUUUCUAGAGAUUACAGCAGCUCCAGACUCAAUCCAAACUCACUUUUGAAGACUUCAGAUGACACCAACACUCACAAAGACUACAGACGACAACUGUACAUGAACACACAAAACAUUGGACACACAAAACAAAUAUUAACCUUAUUUUGCUUACUUUUAAUAUUUACUCUCUGAGUUAUGUGGACCUACAUGUCCCCUUUUAUUUGUAAGCAUCACUUUAAAAAUGUUGAAAGAUAAUGUUAAUGUUAACUGAAUACAAAACUAGAGACUUGUUUAGUAAGAUUUUAUCAGAAAAUAUUUUUGAACUUUUAUCAUGCAAUUUAAAACAUUUUAAUUGC
This is a long non-coding RNA of Carassius auratus (goldfish), 1446 nucleotides long. RefSeq lists it as uncharacterized. Lineage: Eukaryota; Metazoa; Chordata; Actinopteri; Cypriniformes; Cyprinidae. The record is from RefSeq and is a predicted model, not a curated record. The transcript has 7 exons.